CCCGCACAAGCGGUGGAGCAUGUGGUUUAAUUCGACGCAACGCGCAGAACCUUACCAACCCUCGACAUGUCCAGUAUGGUUUCCAGAGAUGGAUUCCUUCAGUUCGGCUGGCUGGAACACAGGUGUUGCAUGGCUGCCGUCAGCUCGUGUCGUGAGAUGUUGGGUUAAGUCCCGCAACCGAGCGCAACCCUCGCCUUUAGUUGCCAUCAUUAAGUUGGGCACUCUAGAGGGACUGCCGGUGAUAAGCCGGAGGAAGGUGGGGAUGACGUCAAGUCCUCAUGGCCCUUACGGGUUGGGCUACACACGUGCUACAAUGGCGGCGACAAUGGGCAGCGAAGGGGCGACCCGGUGCAAAUCCCAAAAAGCCGUCUCAGUUCGGAUUGUUCUCUGCAACUCGAGAGCAUGAAGGUGGAAUCGCUAGUAAUCGCGUAACAGCAUGACGCGGUGAAUACGUUCCCGGGCCUU
Molecule: ribosomal RNA, 465 nt
Filed under: uncultured Parvibaculum sp.
Lineage: Bacteria; Pseudomonadati; Pseudomonadota; Alphaproteobacteria; Hyphomicrobiales; Parvibaculaceae
Description: bacterial SSU rRNA
Rfam family: Bacterial small subunit ribosomal RNA
Source: RNAcentral